This 250-nucleotide ribosomal RNA is filed under the name uncultured bacterium. Its description in RNAcentral is "partial 16S ribosomal RNA". It matches the Rfam family "Bacterial small subunit ribosomal RNA", at positions 524 to 773 of the family's 1533-position model. The record is from RNAcentral.
UACGGAGGGUGCAAGCAUUAAUCGGAGUUAUUGGGCGUAAAGGACGCGCAGGCGGCGAGGUAAGUCGGGUGUGAAAUCCCGGGGCUCAACCCCGGAACUGCACUUGAAACUACCUCUCUUGAGGAUAGGCGGAGAAAACGGAAUUCCACAAGUAGCGGUGAAAUGCGUAGAUAUGUGGAAGAACACCUGUGGCGAAAGCGGUUUUCUAGCUUAUUCCUGACGCUGAGGCGUGAAAGCAAGGGGAGCAAAC